Oncorhynchus keta (chum salmon) is the source of this 582-nucleotide long non-coding RNA. RefSeq lists it as uncharacterized. Lineage: Eukaryota; Metazoa; Chordata; Actinopteri; Salmoniformes; Salmonidae. The record is from RefSeq and is a predicted model, not a curated record. The transcript is spliced from 3 exons.
UACUGGCCUUCAGCCCAGAGAGAAGGUAUGAUGGAGAUACUGGCCUUCAGCCCAGAGAGAAGGUAUGAUGGAGAUACUGGCCUUCAGCCCAGAGAGAAGGUAUGAUGGAGAUACUGGCCUUCAGCCCAGAGAGAAGGUAUGAUGGAGAUACUGGCCUUCAGCCCAGAGAGAAGGUAUGAUGGAGAUACUGGCCUUCAGCCCAGAGAGAAGGUAUGAUGGAGAUAGUGGCCUUCAGCCCAGAGAGAAGGUAUGAUGGAGAUACUGGCCUUCAGCCCAGAGAGAAGGUAUGAUGGAGAUACUGGCCUUCAGCCCAGAGAGAAGGUAUGAUGGAGAUACUGGCCUUCAGCCCAGAGAGAAGGUAUGAUGGAGAUACUGGCCUUCAGCCCAGAGAGAAGGUAUGAUGGAGAUACUGGCCUUCAGCCCAGAGAGAAGGUAUGAUGGAGAUACUGGCCUUCAGCCCAGAGAGAAGGUAUGAUGGAGAUACUGGCCUUCAGCCCAGAGAGAAGGUAUGAUGGAGAUACUGGCCUUCAGCCCAGAGAGAAGGAGAGCUGACCUUCAGCCCAGAGAGAAGGUAUGAUGGAG